UGCCACUAAGGCCAUGAUGGUUGGUUGU
RNAcentral lists this non-coding RNA (28 nucleotides) under Mus musculus (house mouse). Lineage: Eukaryota; Metazoa; Chordata; Mammalia; Rodentia; Muridae. The record is from RNAcentral.